Molecule: ribosomal RNA, 254 nt
Filed under: uncultured bacterium
Lineage: Bacteria
Description: partial 16S ribosomal RNA
Rfam family: Bacterial small subunit ribosomal RNA
Source: RNAcentral
UACGUAGGUGGCAAGCGUUUGUCCGGAUUUACUGGGCGUAAAGAGCGCGCAGGCGGUUGUUUAAGUCGAAUGUGAAAGCCCCCGGCUCAACUGGGGAGGGUCAUUCGAUACUGAUCGACUUGAAGGCAGGAGAGGGAAGUGGAAUUCCGGGUGUAGUGGUGAAAUGCGUAGAUAUCCGGAGGAACACCAGUGGCGAAGGCGACUUCCUGGCCUGUUCUUGACGCUGAGGCGCGAAAGCUGGGGGAGCAAACGGG